Molecule: ribosomal RNA, 460 nt
Filed under: uncultured bacterium
Lineage: Bacteria
Description: partial 16S ribosomal RNA
Rfam family: Bacterial small subunit ribosomal RNA
Source: RNAcentral
CCUACGGGAGGCAGCAGUGAGGAAUAUUGGUCAAUGGGCGAGAGCCUGAACCAGCCAAGCCGCGUGAAGGAAGAAGGAUCUAUGGUUUGUAAACUUCUUUUAUAUGGGAAUAAAGUGCGGAACGUGUUCCUUUUUGUAUGUACCAUAUGAAUAAGCAUCGGCUAACUCCGUGCCAGCAGCCGCGGUAAUACGGAGGAUGCGAGCGUUAUCCGGAUUUAUUGGGGUUAAAGGGUGCGUAGGUGGUUAAGUAAGUCAUAGGUGAAAGUUUGUGGCUCAACCAUAAAAUUGCCGUUGAAACUGGUUGGCUGGAGUAUAUGAGAGGUAGGCGGAAUGCGUGGUGUAGCGGUGAAAUGCAUAGAUAUCACGCAGAACUCCGAUUGCGAAGGCAGCUUACUAAACUAUAACUGACGCUGAGGCACGAAAGCGUGGGGAUCAAACAGGAUUAGAUACCCCUGUAGUC